GAUACUACCAGUAGUGGGCAUAUUCAGUUACACGGCCGUACGUACGACGCGUUAUUAUUCCGGUUGCGCGUUGUCGAAUUGUUGACGGCGCGAUAUAACGACAAGUCACGCCCGCCGUCCGUCUUCCGCGCGCGCAAUACGUCAUUUUACUCGUCACUAUCGUUUGAUAAUGUCGUAGCGGCCGUACUAGUCGAAAUACUAUUGUUGGCGAAUGUAUAACACAUUGUGUUGAUUAUAAUUACAAUUACCCUGCAGCAGUGUUACCCGUUGGGCGUUUCAGACAUUUCCCCCGCGCUCACAAAUAUAUCGUUUACAAAUGAUCGGUGGCGCGACCGGAAUUUAUUUUUAGGGGGCGGGG
Molecule: non-coding RNA, 358 nt
Organism: Cinara cedri
Lineage: Eukaryota; Metazoa; Arthropoda; Insecta; Hemiptera; Aphididae
Source: the annotation of a GenBank genome assembly